GACGAACGCUGGCGGCAUGCCUAAUACAUGCAAGUCGAGCGAACAGAUGAAGUGCUUGCACUUCUGACGUUAGCGGCGAACGGGUGAGUAACACGUAAGGAAUCUACCUAUAAGCGGGGGAUAACAUUCGGAAACGGGUGCUAAUACCGCAUAAUAUCUUCUUCCGCAUGGAAGAAGAUUGAAAGACGGCUCUGCUGUCACUUAUAGAUGACCUUGCGGUGCAUUAGUUAGUUGGUGGGGUAACGGCCUACCAAGACGAUGAUGCAUAGCCGACCUGGGAGGGUGAUCGGCCACAUUGGGACUGAGACACGUCCCAAACUCCUACGGGAGGCAGCAGUAGGGAAUCUUCCGCGAUGGGCGAAAGCCUGACGGAGCAAUGCCGCGUGAGUGAAGAAGGCCUUCGGGUCGUAAAACUCUGUUAUAAGAGAAGAACAAAUUGUAGAGUAACUGCUACAGUCUUGACGGUAUCUUAUCAGAAAGCCACGGCUAACUUCGUGCCAGCCGCCGCAGUAA
RNAcentral lists this ribosomal RNA (513 nucleotides) under uncultured bacterium. Its description in RNAcentral is "partial 16S ribosomal RNA". It matches the Rfam family "Bacterial small subunit ribosomal RNA", at positions 28 to 523 of the family's 1533-position model. The record is from RNAcentral.